ACGGGUGAGUAACGCGUGGGAACGUGCCUUUCGGUUCGGAAUAACUCAGGGAAACUUGAGCUAAUACCGGAUACGCCCUUCGGGGGAAAGAUUUAUUGCCGAAAGAUCGGCCCGCGUCCGAUUAGCUAGUUGGUGAGGUAACGGCUCACCAAGGCGACGAUCGGUAGCUGGUCUGAGAGGAUGAUCAGCCACACUGGGACUGAGACACGGCCCAGACUCCUACGGGAGGCAGCAGUGGGGAAUAUUGGACAAUGGGCGCAAGCCUGAUCCAGCCAUGCCGCGUGAGUGACGAAGGCCCUAGGGUUGUAAAGCUCUUUCGCCAGGGACGAUAAUGACGGUACCUGGAUAAGAAGCCCCGGCUAACUUCGUGCCAGCAGCCGCGGUAAUACGAAGGGGGCUAGCGUUGUUCGGAAUCACUGGGCGUAAAGCGCACGUAGGCGGAUCUUUAAGUCAGGGGUGAAAUCCCGAGGCUCAACCUCGGAACUGCCUUUGAUACUGGAGGUCUAGAGUCCGGGAGAGGUGAGUGGAACUGCGAGU
RNAcentral lists this ribosomal RNA (537 nucleotides) under uncultured bacterium. RNAcentral describes it as "bacterial SSU rRNA". It matches the Rfam family "Bacterial small subunit ribosomal RNA", at positions 102 to 674 of the family's 1533-position model. The record is from RNAcentral.